Molecule: long non-coding RNA, 572 nt
Filed under: Carica papaya (papaya)
Lineage: Eukaryota; Viridiplantae; Streptophyta; Magnoliopsida; Brassicales; Caricaceae
Description: long non-coding RNA (CPAP_LNC005670)
Source: RNAcentral
GGAGGUUGGUAAUGAAGUGGUUGCUCAACCUAUGGAAGAAGAAUUGCAUCCUAUAGUACAAGAGGUUGGUAACGAAGUGGUUGCUCAACCUAUUCUAGAAUCGCAUCCUAUAGUAGCUAGAAAAUGCAGAGUUGCUCUGUUGUUGGUAGAUGCAAUGUUGAAUCUAGGCAACGUCGUUCCAGCGAAUAUUUUGACACUAUAAGUCAAUUUGUACCUUAAAUCCCCAAAUGUUUAUCAAAAUAUUUUCAUAAUUUAUAACAUAAUGUUUUAGUUAAUUUUAAUUUAUAUAUGGAAGUAUUACAUUCACAAGACACUAAAAAUAAAAUGUCAAUCUUUGACUAAGGUGGAAAAUUUCAACCGCCAUGGAAUUUUACCCAAAAAUGCAUCCAAAGAUACCAGAAAACGAUUUAAAGACUCAAGAAAGGUUGGUCAUGGUCAACAAUAGUGUCAUAAGGUAAGUCAAGACAAAGGGUUCAACAAGUUGUCGUCUAUGCUCCAAAAAGAUUUUAAAUCACUUCAAUAAAGACGUUAUUUAGCUGUAUUUGUACUUGUUGCAUUGUACUUUUUAUGUC